RNAcentral lists this ribosomal RNA (253 nucleotides) under uncultured bacterium. Its description in RNAcentral is "partial 16S ribosomal RNA". It matches the Rfam family "Bacterial small subunit ribosomal RNA", at positions 524 to 776 of the family's 1533-position model. The record is from RNAcentral.
UACAGAGACUGCAAGCGUUAUUCGGAAUCACUGGGCUUAAAGGGCGCGUAGGCGGCUUCAUAAGUCAGGGGUGAAAUCCGGCAGCUUAACUGUCGCAGUGCCUUUGAUACUGUGGAGCUCGAGGGAGGUAGGGGUCUGUGGAACUUCCGGUGGAGCGGUGAAAUGCGUUGAUAUCGGAAGGAACGCCGGUGGCGAAAGCGACGGACUGGAUCUCUUCUGACGCUGAGGCGCGAAAGCCAGGGGAGCAAACGGG